CCGUCUCAGUUCGGAUUGUUCUCUGCAACUCGAGAGCAUGAAGGCGGAAUCGCUAGUAAUCGCGGAUCAGCAUGCCGCGGUGAAUACGUUCCCAGGCCUUGUACACACCGCCCGUCACACCAUGGGAGUUGGUUUCACCCGAAGGCAGUGCGCUAACCGCAAGGAGGCAGCUGACCACGGUGGGAUCAGCGACUGGGGUGAAGUCGUAACAAGGUAGCCGUAGGGGAACCUGCGGCUGGAUCACCUCCUUUCUAAGGA
RNAcentral lists this ribosomal RNA (258 nucleotides) under Novosphingobium sp. PASSN1. Its description in RNAcentral is "partial 16S ribosomal RNA". It matches the Rfam family "Bacterial small subunit ribosomal RNA", at positions 1283 to 1533 of the family's 1533-position model. Lineage: Bacteria; Pseudomonadati; Pseudomonadota; Alphaproteobacteria; Sphingomonadales; Sphingomonadaceae. The record is from RNAcentral.